GACGAACGCUGGCGGCGCGCCUAACACAUGCAAGUCGAACGAGCGAGAGAGAGCUUGCUUUCUUGAGCGAGUGGCGAACGGGUGAGUAACGCGUGAGGAACCUGCCUCAAAGAGGGGGACAACAGUUGGAAACGACUGCUAAUGCCGCAUAAGCCCACGACCCGGCAUCGGGUUGAGGGAAAAGGAGCAAUCCGCUUUGAGAUGGCCUCGCGUCCGAUUAGCUAGUUGGUGAGGUAACGGCCCACCAAGGCGACGAUCGGUAGCCGGACUGAGAGGUUGAACGGCCACAUUGGGACUGAGACACGGCCCAGACUCCUACGGGAGGCAGCAGUGGGGAAUAUUGCACAAUGGGGGAAACCCUGAUGCAGCGACGCCGCGUGGAGGAAGAAGGUCUUCGGAUUGUAAACUCCUGUUGUUGAGGAAGAUAAUGACGGUACUCAACAAGGAAGUGACGGCUAACUACGUG
RNAcentral lists this ribosomal RNA (466 nucleotides) under uncultured bacterium. Its description in RNAcentral is "partial 16S ribosomal RNA". It matches the Rfam family "Bacterial small subunit ribosomal RNA", at positions 28 to 507 of the family's 1533-position model. The record is from RNAcentral.